ACGCACGCGGAGGGCUCUGACACGCGGUCCAUACCCUGGCCGCCGGGACCGCGCCGAGCCACUGGCGAGACCGACCCGCGCGGUG
The submitters of this non-coding RNA (85 nucleotides) gave its source as unclassified sequences. The record is from Rfam.